CAUUAGAUGUCUGAAAUUUAAGAAUUGAUCUUUUAAAUCAUCUAUAGUAACUAAAAAUUACUUCUAAUGA
This 70-nucleotide transfer RNA is filed under the name Bombus sibiricus. Its description in RNAcentral is "tRNA-Lys". The record is from RNAcentral. Lineage: Eukaryota; Metazoa; Arthropoda; Insecta; Hymenoptera; Apidae.